Molecule: ribosomal RNA, 253 nt
Filed under: uncultured bacterium
Lineage: Bacteria
Description: partial 16S ribosomal RNA
Rfam family: Bacterial small subunit ribosomal RNA
Source: RNAcentral
GACGGAGGGUGCAAACGUUGUUCGGAAUUACUGGGCAUAAAGCGCACGUAGGCGGCGCGAUAAGUUAGGUGUGAAAGCCCUCGGCUCAACCGAGGAAUGGCAUCUGAUACUGUCGUGCUUGAGGACGGUUGGGGUGAGUGGAACUCCUGGUGGAGCGGUGAAAUGCGUAGAUAUCAGGAGGAACACCGGUGGCGAAAGCGGCUCACUGGACCGUAACUGACGCUGAGGUGCGAAAGCUAGGGUAGCGAACGGG